GACGAACGCUGGCGGCGUGCCUAACACAUGCAAGUCGAACGGAGCCAAGGAAAUGAGACCUUCGGGAGGAUUUUCCGGAAGCUUAGUGGCAGACGGGUGAGUAACGCGUGAGUAACCUGCCUUUCAGAGGGGAAUAACACACCGAAAGGUGUGCUAAUACCGCAUAACACAUUAGUAUCGCAUGAUACAGAUGUCAAAGAUUUAUCGCUGAAAGAUGGACUCGCGUCUGAUUAGAUAGUUGGUGAGGUAACGGCUCACCAAGUCGACGAUCAGUAGCCGGACUGAGAGGUUGAACGGCCACAUUGGGACUGAGACACGGCCCAGACUCCUACGGGAGGCAGCAGUGGGGGAUAUUGCGCAAUGGGGGGAACCCUGACGCAGCAACGCCGCGUGAAGGAAGAAGGCCUUCGGGUUGUAAACUUCUUUAGUUAGGGACGAAGAACGUGACGGUA
Molecule: ribosomal RNA, 452 nt
Filed under: uncultured bacterium
Lineage: Bacteria
Description: bacterial SSU rRNA
Rfam family: Bacterial small subunit ribosomal RNA
Source: RNAcentral